This 820-nucleotide ribosomal RNA is filed under the name Loxana alabastrites alabastrites. RNAcentral's name for it is "partial large subunit ribosomal RNA". The record is from RNAcentral. Lineage: Eukaryota; Metazoa; Mollusca; Gastropoda; Stylommatophora; Helicidae.
UUACUACAUUUUUUCAUAUGUAUUUACACGAAAUAAAGUGAGCUAAAUAUAAUCACGUAUAGGUGUAAUAUUAUUACGUAGUAUAGUAAUAUAACAGUAAUAUUUAGUAGUGAUAGGCCUACCAAACUUUUUGAUAACUUGUUAUGUAAAAAAUAUAUUAAGUAUUUAGUCAAUCUACAAAAGUUAAGCUUUGUAGUUAUUAUAAAAGUAAAAAAAACGUAUUAAGUUAUAUUUUAAUCAUUAAAUUAUUAAGUUUAAAACAAUAUUAAUUAAUUAAUUUUAUAUUUAUUAUUACAUUAUAUUAUAUUAUUAUAAAUAUAAAUAAUGUAAAUAUAAGUAGUAAUUUAAAUAUUUUAAAGGAACUCGGCAAAUAUGCUGUUCAACUGUUUAUCAAAAACAUAGCUAUAUGAUAUAAUAUAUAGUGGUUCUGCUCAAUGGUAAUCUAAAUAGCCGCAGUACACUGACUGUGCAAAGGUAGCAUAAUCAGUUGGCUUUUAAUUGGAGUCUGGGAUGAAUGAAAGUAUGGGUAGCAACUGUCUAACUACUAUAUUAUAACAAAAUUAGUUAGCAAGUGCAAAAACUUGCAGAUAUAAAAAAGACGAGAAGACCCUAGAAACUUGUAACAUUGUUUUGUUGGGGCGACAGAAUUACAUGAAACUAAUUUUAAUAAGCAUGACGUUUUUCAGAAAGACUAAGUUACUCUAGGGAUAACAGCAUAAUUUUUAUAGUUUGUGACCUCGAUGUUGGACUAGGUAUAUAAUUUUUUAGAAGAAAAUUUACAAAGCUCUGUUCGAGCAAAAGAACCUACAUGAUCUGAGUU